UACGAAGGGGGCUAGCGUUGCUCGGAAUGACUGGGCGUAAAGGGCGCGUAGGCGGUUUGUACAGUCAGAUGUGAAAUUCCUGGGCUCAACCUGGGGGCUGCAUUUGAUACGUGCAGGCUUGAGUGUGGAAGAGGGUCGUGGAAUUCCCAGUGUAGAGGUGAAAUUCGUAGAUAUUGGGAAGAACACCGGUGGCGAAGGCGGCGACCUGGGCCAUUACUGACGCUGAGGCGCGACAGCGUGGGGAGCAAACAGG
This 253-nucleotide ribosomal RNA is filed under the name uncultured bacterium. RNAcentral describes it as "partial 16S ribosomal RNA". It matches the Rfam family "Bacterial small subunit ribosomal RNA", at positions 524 to 776 of the family's 1533-position model. The record is from RNAcentral.